This 1646-nucleotide ribosomal RNA is filed under the name Escherichia coli. RNAcentral's name for it is "partial 23S ribosomal RNA". It matches the Rfam family "Bacterial large subunit ribosomal RNA", at positions 1291 to 2915 of the family's 2925-position model. Lineage: Bacteria; Pseudomonadati; Pseudomonadota; Gammaproteobacteria; Enterobacterales; Enterobacteriaceae. The record is from RNAcentral.
CGAAUGCUGACAUAAGUAACGAUAAAGCGGGUGAAAAGCCCGCUCGCCGGAAGACCAAGGGUUCCUGUCCAACGUUAAUCGGGGCAGGGUGAGUCGACCCCUAAGGCGAGGCCGAAAGGCGUAGUCGAUGGGAAACAGGUUAAUAUUCCUGUACUUGGUGUUACUGCGAAGGGGGGACGGAGAAGGCUAUGUUGGCCGGGCGACGGUUGUCCCGGUUUAAGCGUGUAGGCUGGUUUUCCAGGCAAAUCCGGAAAAUCAAGGCUGAGGCGUGAUGACGAGGCACUACGGUGCUGAAGCAACAAAUGCCCUGCUUCCAGGAAAAGCCUCUAAGCAUCAGGUAACAUCAAAUCGUACCCCAAACCGACACAGGUGGUCAGGUAGAGAAUACCAAGGCGCUUGAGAGAACUCGGGUGAAGGAACUAGGCAAAAUGGUGCCGUAACUUCGGGAGAAGGCACGCUGAUAUGUAGGUGAAGUCCCUUGCGGAUGGAGCUGAAAUCAGUCGAAGAUACCAGCUGGCUGCAACUGUUUAUUAAAAACACAGCACUGUGCAAACACGAAAGUGGACGUAUACGGUGUGACGCCUGCCCGGUGCCGGAAGGUUAAUUGAUGGGGUUAGCGGUAACGCGAAGCUCUUGAUCGAAGCCCCGGUAAACGGCGGCCGUAACUAUAACGGUCCUAAGGUAGCGAAAUUCCUUGUCGGGUAAGUUCCGACCUGCACGAAUGGCGUAAUGAUGGCCAGGCUGUCUCCACCCGAGACUCAGUGAAAUUGAACUCGCUGUGAAGAUGCAGUGUACCCGCGGCAAGACGGAAAGACCCCGUGAACCUUUACUAUAGCUUGACACUGAACAUUGAGCCUUGAUGUGUAGGAUAGGUGGGAGGCUUUGAAGUGUGGACGCCAGUCUGCAUGGAGCCGACCUUGAAAUACCACCCUUUAAUGUUUGAUGUUCUAACGUUGGCCCCUGAUCGGGGUUGCGGACAGUGUCUGGUGGGUAGUUUGACUGGGGCGGUCUCCUCCUAAAGAGUAACGGAGGAGCACGAAGGUUGGCUAAUCCUGGUCGGACAUCAGGAGGUUAGUGCAAUGGCAUAAGCCAGCUUGACUGCGAGCGUGACGGCGCGAGCAGGUGCGAAAGCAGGUCAUAGUGAUCCGGUGGUUCUGAAUGGAAGGGCCAUCGCUCAACGGAUAAAAGGUACUCCGGGGAUAACAGGCUGAUACCGCCCAAGAGUUCAUAUCGACGGCGGUGUUUGGCACCUCGAUGUCGGCUCAUCACAUCCUGGGGCUGAAGUAGGUCCCAAGGGUAUGGCUGUUCGCCAUUUAAAGUGGUACGCGAGCUGGGUUUAGAACGUCGUGAGACAGUUCGGUCCCUAUCUGCCGUGGGCGCUGGAGAACUGAGGGGGGCUGCUCCUAGUACGAGAGGACCGGAGUGGACGCAUCACUGGUGUUCGGGUUGUCAUGCCAAUGGCACUGCCCGGUAGCUAAAUGCGGAAGAGAUAAGUGCUGAAAGCAUCUAAGCACGAAACUUGCCCCGAGAUGAGUUCUCCCUGACUCCUUGAGAGUCCUGAAGGAACGUUGAAGACGACGACGUUGAUAGGCCGGGUGUGUAAGCGCAGCGAUGCGUUGAGCUAACCGGUACUAAUGAACCGUGAG